AAUCCUGUGUUUUCCCAAACCCAUCGCUGACUCGCUGAAUCCCUCUCUUCCCCAAGCCCUCUCCCCCUCGCGAGAUCCCAAACCUGCUGCCGGCGAGCUUUCCCUCCCUCGCACGAGCACCCCCGGACGCCGUCGGCCCCUCCUCCUCCGCCGAACUCCUUCCUUCCCUCUCCCUCUCGCGGGUCCUCAUGCCCUAGCUCUCACACCGCCGAACCUUCUCUUCCCGAGCCCUCACCCAGCGUUGUCGAUCUUCUCCUCGCGAGUUCCUGCAAGUACAGCCGUCAAUCCCUGGCCCUCGCGCGAGCACCCCAGCCGCGACUCUUCUCCCUCGCACGAGCACCACAUAUCGCAGCCGCCAGCCUCUCCUCGUGCCAGCACCAGAGAUGCCGCGACGAGCCAACGGCCGACGUCGACCCCUCUCUUCCCGAGCCGUGCCCUAACUGAUCGAGCAGGGUUCUUCCGGUGCUGUUUGGUGUGGCUGGAGAGGUCUAGAUAUGUUGAGAUUUUGGAUCAAGAUCAUGAAAGAUUCGACUGGGCUGGUUGGUGUUUUGUUCCUUUCCUUUGUUCCUGAAAAGCUUGGAUUUUCCUUCGAGAUCGUUAUGUUUCUGGAGUAGCUAUGGAUUUUAAGUUCAUGGGCUGGGUUAGAUCUGAGUUAAUCAAUGAAGGAGAUUAAUCAAGGUGAAUUGAUGAAUUGGGGUUGGCUACUGAUUUUGAGAUGUGCAUUUUGACGUGGAAUUUAGUUCAUCACGAUCUACAUAUAAAGGUAGCAAUAGAUGAUUCAUGAAUGCUUGGAGAGAUGCCGGCUGCCAGUCUUGGGUCCUGCGUUAUACCAGUUUUAUUUCCGCUUUACUUGUAUUUUUUUUGUAUACAACGAGUUUGGUAUUGUGUGAAUUGGUUUAUGUUUGGAGUUUGAUUCAUAGUGUUUUGUUUUUGUACGCUUGUGGUUGUGUAAGCCUAAUUGGCUAGUAAACUUUGGUUG
Zingiber officinale is the source of this 979-nucleotide long non-coding RNA. RefSeq lists it as uncharacterized. The transcript is spliced from 4 exons. NCBI's taxonomy places the organism in Eukaryota, Viridiplantae, Streptophyta, Magnoliopsida, Zingiberales, Zingiberaceae. The record is from RefSeq and is a predicted model, not a curated record.